Molecule: transfer RNA, 90 nt
Filed under: SAR202 cluster bacterium
Lineage: Bacteria; Bacillati; Chloroflexota; Dehalococcoidia
Description: tRNA-Ser
Rfam family: tRNA
About the family: Transfer RNA (tRNA) molecules are approximately 80 nucleotides in length. Their secondary structure includes four short double-helical elements and three loops (D, anti-codon, and T loops).
Source: RNAcentral
GGAGAGAUGCCAGAGAGGCCGAUUGGGCACGACUGGAAAUCGUGUGUCCCUGCAAGGGGACCGUGGGUUCGAAUCCCACUCUCUCCGCCA